AAAAACACAUGCUGCUGCUUUUCUUCUUGUAAACGGCCUUGUUUGGAAGGAAAGAAGGCUAGAGCAUGUAUUUAUUGUGUAUGUUAAUAUAAAUUAAGUUAUGUUCAAAUAUUGCAAUUUAAAUUUGCUAAUAAAAUCGAGACAUUUAUUCUGGAAGUUUUCAAAAUGUUUCUUUAGUAGUUUUUGAAAACAAAGAUUUGAAUCGAAUGGUGUAUCACCUGAACCAAUACAGAUUUAUUUUGCAUUGAUCAUUUAGCUUAUCAAUUAAUUAGGUUCAUAUUUGUGAGAAAUGUAGCCCUGACCCCCGUUCACCCAAUCUGUUUGGUCUUAUUAAUGUCCCGUCCCCAGCAAAAAGUGUACAUGCAGGUUAUGCUGUUAUAUCGUCCCUACCAAUGUUGAGACCAAACCUACGCCCUUGGUCCAUGCUAAACUGCCAUCCUAGAUGUUAUUCUUAUUUCAGCUUGUCAGUUUGAAGCGAGGGGGAGAGUUUUCCCCUCAGCUCUUUGAAAGGUCAGUUGUAACCGCAAGCCUUUUAGUCAAGUGGAGCAUGAAGCAUUUACCUUAAACACACUUUCCUUUAGGUUAGACGUUGAAACCUGCACAACCUGCUUAGAUCAACAUUUUUUCCAGGUUAUGAGCUAGAACUCAAACAUGCAUUCAUAAGCACUUUAAUAUAUUUGAUUAUAGGGUUAAUACAAGUUGCAAGCACACUGAUAUAUAAUUGGUUACAGGAUGUGAUCAAAUGAUGAUUUAUGAUUAAAUGGAUUAUAACUAAAGAUAGAAUUAAAACAUGAUUGUUUGAUAGAUAGGUUGAAAUGAAUAUUCCCCACAGAUGCUGCCUAAUUCAGCGGACCUUGGCAUGAACUUUGAAGGGAACAGGUACACGAGUAGCUCCAGUAAUGCCUUCGGUUGUCAGUUCAUCUCCAUCAGGAACAGAAAAAGAGAACUUCUGCAGUAAA
Long non-coding RNA from Acanthochromis polyacanthus (spiny chromis), 959 nucleotides. RefSeq lists it as uncharacterized. The record is from RefSeq and is a predicted model, not a curated record. The transcript is spliced from 2 exons. NCBI's taxonomy places the organism in Eukaryota, Metazoa, Chordata, Actinopteri, Pomacentridae.